This 766-nucleotide long non-coding RNA is filed under the name Prunus dulcis (almond). RNAcentral's name for it is "sRNA ncRNA". The record is from RNAcentral. Lineage: Eukaryota; Viridiplantae; Streptophyta; Magnoliopsida; Rosales; Rosaceae.
AGAAAAAGGAGAUGUCGCAAAGUUCGGGGAGCCAUAACACAUGGAAGCUUUGCGAUUGUGGGGGAGCUAUUAAAAGAUGGACUUCCUGGACAUAUUCGAAUCCUGGGAGAAGAUUGAAGCUUGUGAGAAUAAUUGGGUAAGUCACUUUGUCUGGAAUUUUGUGUUUUUUGGUCCAUGGGUUUUAGAUCUAACCCUAGAUAUGGAAAAUUCUUCAGAAGAACAGAGGCAAAGGUCAUUAUUGGGAGUGGGUGGAUGAAGAGAUAUGCCUACGAGGAAAGAAAGUGCUUCCUGGGUUGCUAGAGAAGAUAAUGAAGGACUAAAAGAUAAGCUCAGAGCAAUUGAGCAAGAAAACAAGUAAUUGACAGCAACAGUUGGAAGAUUGGGAAGGCAGAGAAUGAAGAUGGAUGAGAAAGUUAUGGUGUAUUGACAUAGAGGGAAACUAAUGUGGGUGGGUCUGUUUGUGGCGUGGGUUCUUGGUGCGAUGGUUGGAAUGUUGAUGAUUAAGAUCCUAAAUUUGUCUGAAAAAAUUCCAGAGAAUUUGAUGAUCAAAUAGUGAAAUGUGUAAUGAGUUUGGUACAUUUGCGUCAUUGCAUAACUUCAAUCCAAAGUUGGGUACAUUUGUGCCAUUUGAAUAACUUGAAUCCAAAGUUUGGUACAUUUGUGUCAUUUGUGCCAUUUGUGCCAUUUGUGUCAUUUGUGCCAUUUGUGCCAUUGUAAUGUGUAAGUGUAUAGUAACAUAACUUAAGAUAUAAUUUGACAAUUGCAU